CAGUCGAGCGGACAGAUGGGAGCUUGCUCCCUGAUGUUAGCGGCGGACGGGUGAGUAACACGUGGGUAACCUGCCUGUAAGACUGGGAUAACUCCGGGAAACCGGGGCUAAUACCGGAUGGUUGUUUGAACCGCAUGGUUCAAACAUAAAAGGUGGCUUCGGCUACCACUUACAGAUGGACCCGCGGCGCAUUAGCUAGUUGGUGAGGUAACGGCUCACCAAGGCAACGAUGCGUAGCCGACCUGAGAGGGUGAUCGGCCACACUGGGACUGAGACACGGCCCAGACUCCUACGGGAGGCAGCAGUAGGGAAUCUUCCGCAAUGGACGAAAGUCUGACGGAGCAACGCCGCGUGAGUGAUGAAGGUUUUCGGAUCGUAAAGCUCUGUUGUUAGGGAAGAACAAGUACCGUUCGAAUAGGGCGGUACCUUGACGGUACCUAACCAGAAAGCCACGGCUAACUACGUGCCAGCAGCCGCGGUAAUACGUAGGUGGCAAGCGUUGUCCGGAAUUAUUGGGCGUAAAGGGCUCGCAGGCGGUUUCUUAAGUCUGAUGUGAAAGCCCCCGGCUCAACCGGGGAGGGUCAUUGGAAACUGGGGAACUUGAGUGCAGAAGAGGAGAGUGGAAUUCCACGUGUAGCGGUGAAAUGCGUAGAGAUGUGGAGGAACACCAGUGGCGAAGGCGACUCUCUGGUCUGUAACUGACGCUGAGGAGCGAAAGCGUGGGGAGCGAACAGGAUUAGAUACCCUGGUAGUCCACGCCGUAAACGAUGAGUGCU
Molecule: ribosomal RNA, 776 nt
Filed under: Bacillus subtilis
Lineage: Bacteria; Bacillati; Bacillota; Bacilli; Caryophanales; Bacillaceae
Description: bacterial SSU rRNA
Rfam family: Bacterial small subunit ribosomal RNA
Source: RNAcentral